This 350-nucleotide RNase P RNA is filed under the name Acidiluteibacter ferrifornacis. Its description in RNAcentral is "Bacterial RNase P class A". It matches the Rfam family "Bacterial RNase P class A". From Rfam's summary of the family: Ribonuclease P (RNase P) is a ubiquitous endoribonuclease, found in archaea, bacteria and eukarya as well as chloroplasts and mitochondria. Its best characterised activity is the generation of mature 5'-ends of tRNAs by cleaving the 5'-leader elements of precursor-tRNAs. Lineage: Bacteria; Pseudomonadati; Bacteroidota; Flavobacteriia; Flavobacteriales; Cryomorphaceae. The record is from Rfam by way of RNAcentral.
AGAGCAAACUAUUCUAUCGCUCUAUUAGAAAUAAUUAGAGAGGAAAGUCCGGGCAACAAAGAGCACCGCACCUUAGAGAAACUAAGGGCAUGCUUUCGAAAUAAAGCAUGACAGAAAGUGCAACAGAAAGUAGACCGUCUCGUUUCGGCGAGUUAAGGGUGAAACGGUGAGGUAAGAGCUCACCAGUAUUAUCAGUAAUGGUGAUAGCUAGGUAAACCUUGCGGGUUGAAAAGUCAAAUAAACCGGGGCUUGAGGGUUGCUCGCCUGAUCCCGGAGGGUAGACCGAUUAGAUAAAUGAUAGAAGUCCAUUUAGGUGGAAACAGAACCCGGCUUAUAGGUUUGUUUUAUUA